Molecule: transfer RNA, 77 nt
Filed under: Dehalococcoidia bacterium
Lineage: Bacteria; Bacillati; Chloroflexota; Dehalococcoidia
Description: tRNA-Pro
Rfam family: tRNA
About the family: Transfer RNA (tRNA) molecules are approximately 80 nucleotides in length. Their secondary structure includes four short double-helical elements and three loops (D, anti-codon, and T loops). Further hydrogen bonds mediate the characteristic L-shaped molecular structure. tRNAs have two regions of fundamental functional importance: the anti-codon, which is responsible for specific mRNA codon recognition, and the 3' end, to which the tRNAs corresponding amino acid is attached (by aminoacyl-tRNA synthetases). tRNAs cope with the degeneracy of the genetic code in two manners: having more than one tRNA (with a specific anti-codon) for a particular amino acid; and 'wobble' base-pairing, i.e. permitting non-standard base-pairing at the 3rd anti-codon position.
Source: RNAcentral
CGGGGUGUGGCGCAGCUUGGUAGCGCACCUGCAUGGGGUGCAGGUGGUCGCCGGUUCAAAUCCGGCCACCCCGACCA